This 628-nucleotide ribosomal RNA is filed under the name uncultured Serratia sp. RNAcentral's name for it is "bacterial SSU rRNA". It matches the Rfam family "Bacterial small subunit ribosomal RNA", at positions 1 to 646 of the family's 1533-position model. The record is from RNAcentral. Lineage: Bacteria; Pseudomonadati; Pseudomonadota; Gammaproteobacteria; Enterobacterales; Yersiniaceae.
CGCCCUUAGAGUUUGAUCAUGGCUCAGAUUGAACGCUGGCGGCAGGCUUAACACAUGCAAGUCGAGCGGUAGGGGAGCUUGCUCCCUACGAGCGGCGGACGGGUGAGUAAUGUCUGGGAAACUGCCUGAUGGAGGGGGAUAACUACUGGAAACGGUAGCUAAUACCGCAUAACGUCGCAAGACCAAAGAGGUUCGUCUUGCCAUCAGAUGUGCCCAGAUGGGAUUAGCUAGUAGGUGGGGUAAUGGCUCACCUAGGCGACGAUCCCUAGCUGGUCUGAGAGGAUGACCAGCCACACUGGAACUGAGACACGGUCCAGACUCCUACGGGAGGCAGCAGUGGGGAAUAUUGCACAAUGGGCGCAAGCCUGAUGCAGCCAUGCCGCGUGUGUGAAGAAGGCCUUCGGGUUGUAAAGCACUUUCAGCGAGGAGGAAGGUGGUGAGUAAUCUCAUCAAUUGACGUUACUCGCAGAAGAAGCACCGGCUAACUCCGUGCCAGCAGCCGCGGUAAUACGGAGGGUGCAAGCGUUAAUCGGAAUUACUGGGCGUAAGCGCACGCAGGCGGUUUGUUAAGUCAGAUGUGAAAUCCCCGGGCUCAACCUGGGAACUGCAUUUGAACUGGCAGCUAGAG